RNAcentral lists this ribosomal RNA (654 nucleotides) under uncultured bacterium. RNAcentral describes it as "bacterial SSU rRNA". It matches the Rfam family "Bacterial small subunit ribosomal RNA", at positions 56 to 707 of the family's 1533-position model. The record is from RNAcentral.
UGCAAGUCGAACGGUAACAGCACUUCGGUGGCUGACGAGUGGCGAACGGGUGAGUAAUACAUCGGAACGUGCCCGAGAGUGGGGGAUAACGCAGCGAAAGCUGUGCUAAUACCGCAUACGAUCUACGGAUGAAAGCAGGGGACCGCAAGGCCUUGCGCUCAUGGAGCGGCCGAUGGCAGAUUAGGUAGUUGGUGGGAUAAAAGCUUACCAAGCCGACGAUCUGUAGCUGGUCUGAGAGGACGACCAGCCACACUGGGACUGAGACACGGCCCAGACUCCUACGGGAGGCAGCAGUGGGGAAUUUUGGACAAUGGGCGAAAGCCUGAUCCAGCCAUGCCGCGUGCAGGAUGAAGGCCUUCGGGUUGUAAACUGCUUUUGUACGGAACGAAAAGGUCUUUUCUAAUAAAGAAGGCUCAUGACGGUACCGUAAGAAUAAGCACCGGCUAACUACGUGCCAGCAGCCGCGGUAAUACGUAGGGUGCAAGCGUUAAUCGGAAUUACUGGGCGUAAAGCGUGCGCAGGCGGUUAUAUAAGACAGAUGUGAAAUCCCCGGGCUCAACCUGGGAACUGCAUUAGUGACUGUAUAGCUAGAGUGCGGCAGAGGGGGAUGGAAUUCCGCGUGUAGCAGUGAAAUGCGUAGAUAUGCGGAGGAAC